RNAcentral lists this ribosomal RNA (328 nucleotides) under uncultured eukaryote. Its description in RNAcentral is "partial 18S ribosomal RNA". It matches the Rfam family "Eukaryotic small subunit ribosomal RNA", at positions 1470 to 1796 of the family's 1831-position model. The record is from RNAcentral.
CCCUUAGAUGUCCUGGGCCGCACGCGCGUUACACUGAUGCAUUCAACGAGCUUAUAACCUUGGCCGAGAGGCCUGGGCAAUCUUGUUAACGUGCAACGUGAUAGGGAUAGAUUAUUGAAAUUAUUAAUCUUGAACGAGGAAUUCCUAGUAAACGCAGAUCAUCAAUCUGCAUUGAUUACGUCCCUGCCCUUUGUACACACCGCCCGUCGCACCUACCGAUUGGAUGGUCCGGUGAAGCCUCGGGAUUGUGGUUCUUGCCGCUUUAUUGUGGCGUGACCGCGAGAACUUGUCUAAACCUUAUCAUCUAGAGGAAGGUGAAGUCGUAACA